This 72-nucleotide transfer RNA is filed under the name Cuculus canorus (common cuckoo). RNAcentral describes it as "tRNA-Glu". The record is from RNAcentral. Lineage: Eukaryota; Metazoa; Chordata; Aves; Cuculiformes; Cuculidae. RNAcentral also lists the same sequence under 1 other name.
GUUCCUGUGGUUGAAGUUUGACAACAAUGGUUUUUCAGACCAUGGAUCUUGGAGAGAGGCCAAGCAGGAAUA